GAGGAGACAAUUUCUCAGAGUUAGGUGAU
Molecule: non-coding RNA, 29 nt
Filed under: Rattus norvegicus (Norway rat)
Lineage: Eukaryota; Metazoa; Chordata; Mammalia; Rodentia; Muridae
Source: RNAcentral